GAGUUUGAUCGUGGCUCAGGAUGAACGCUGGCGGCGUGCCUAAUACAUGCAAGUCGAACGAACAGAUAAGGAGCUUGCUCCUUUGACGUUAGCGGCGGACGGGUGAGUAACACGUGGGUAACCUACCUAUAAGACUGGGAAUAACUCCGGGAAACCGGGGCUAAUGCCGGAUAACAUGUUGAACCGCAUGGUUCUACAGUGAAAGACGGUCUUGCUGUCACUUAUAGAUGGACCCGCGCCGUAUUAGCUAGUUGGUGGGGUAACGGCCUACCAAGGCGACGAUACGUAGCCGACCUGAGAGGGUGAUCGGCCACACUGGAACUGAGACACGGUCCAGACUCCUACGGGAGGCAGCAGUAGGGAAUCUUCCGCAAUGGGCGAAAGCCUGACGGAGCAACGCCGCGUGAGUGAUGAAGGUCUUCGGAUCGUAAAGCUCUGUUGUUAGGGAGAACAAUGUGUAAGUACUGUGCAUAUCUUGACGGUACCUAACAGAAAGCCACGGCUAACUACGUGCCAGCCGCCGCGGUAAUACC
This 533-nucleotide ribosomal RNA is filed under the name uncultured microorganism. RNAcentral describes it as "bacterial SSU rRNA". It matches the Rfam family "Bacterial small subunit ribosomal RNA", at positions 9 to 527 of the family's 1533-position model. The record is from RNAcentral.